RNAcentral lists this transfer RNA (74 nucleotides) under Mus musculus (house mouse). RNAcentral describes it as "tRNA-Arg". Lineage: Eukaryota; Metazoa; Chordata; Mammalia; Rodentia; Muridae. The record is from RNAcentral.
GCUGGAGAGUUGGCUCAAUGGUUGAGAACACUGACUUCUCUUCCAGAGGUCCUGAGUUCAAAUCCCAGCAAGCA